This is a long non-coding RNA of Polypterus senegalus (gray bichir), 346 nucleotides long. RefSeq lists it as uncharacterized. NCBI's taxonomy places the organism in Eukaryota, Metazoa, Chordata, Cladistia, Polypteriformes, Polypteridae. The transcript has 3 exons. The record is from RefSeq and is a predicted model, not a curated record.
AAUGUGCAGUUCCAUGCAGUGCUGGCGAUCUGACAUAAUCACCAUACUCAUCUUCAGAGACUUAGAAUAAGAGACUUGCUCUGGUAUUUUGCAGAAGGAAUGUUUAUGAAAUUCUAAAACUAAAAGAAUGUUGCAUUGUAAAACAACUGCGAUGAACAGCAUCACAUCCAGGGAUGGAUCCUGCAAUUUCAUGUUCUUCAGAUAAGCUCCGACUCCCACAAUCCUAUAAUGGAUAAAGAAGAUUCAGAAAAUGGACUGAUGAUGUCAUGCUAUAUGUGAUGAAGCUGACCUCCAGAUUAUUUGUAUUUGGCUCAUUUAGCUGAUGGCAUGGCGUUUUGUGUCACUA